UGCAAGGACACACCGAUUCGGUGUUUGUUUACGGUUGGUACUUUAUACACGAACGGAAAAUCGAGCCGCAGUCGCGAGUUUUACGCGGUACCGCCGCGGUUUGGUCAUUUUUCAAUCGUUUGGUUGUCCGACAAUUAAAAAAAAAUUUUUUUUGUAAUUGGGUGAAGUGGAACGAUAUUGCAUUACUUUUUUAUGGACAAAAGUGCCGCAGGUGUUGUGAAAUUGGAAUAAGAAUUGGGUUGUGACAAUGAUUACAACAAUUUGAACCGAGAAGGACGCAUGCAUUAACAAUCUAAAGUUGAAUAUAAACCUCUCGUCCACGAAAGCGGAUUAUCCCAGGACGAGCAAGUCAUCAAGGGACAAUUUGUUUUGGAGACUGCAGAAAUCCCAAGAAAGGUCUACCCAAAAAAGCG
Long non-coding RNA from Anthonomus grandis grandis, 413 nucleotides. RefSeq lists it as uncharacterized. Lineage: Eukaryota; Metazoa; Arthropoda; Insecta; Coleoptera; Curculionidae. The transcript has 3 exons. The record is from RefSeq and is a predicted model, not a curated record.